CUUCUCUCUCUCUUCCUCCUGCUCUGGCCAUGUGAAGACGUGCCUGAUUUCCUUUGCCUUCCACCAUGGUUUUAGCAUCACAAGUAGAAACAUAUUCACCAACAGGAAGUCCUGGAACACAGCCAGUGCAACAGCAGUGAAGUUAUUCUUUGCUACAAUACUGCUCCACUGGACUAAACAAGUAUAAAAAAUGGAUGACAGCAGGAGGACACCUGGCCAGCUGUUGUAUGGUGAGCUGAACUGAGGAGAUCUCAAAUAGGGCAGGCUGAAGGAACAUGCCACAGACACAUUGAAGAACAAUUUCAAGUAAUGGAAGCAUGGCUGCAGAAGACUGGGAAAUAAUAUCAGGAGGAAGACUGACCCAAUGUGGAGCAAUUGGAGCAGCAAAGGUGUGCAGCCAGGUGAAGCUGCAGCAUUUCAGCUUGCAACAGCUUUUGUAAAGAGCAGUCCCUCUCCCAAUCAAAGAGCCCCAUCCACCUGUAUUAUCUGAGUAAACAUGGCAGAUUUCUUACCAUACGUUUUAGUAGUAUUUCAAUUUUUUAAAUAUAUUUUUAUGAAAAAAAUCUCAGUCAGUGCUAUGUUCAAAUAGUUUCAAGUUUCCAAAAGUUCUUGCAUAAUGACUAGUACCAUACACAAAUUAAACAUAUAGUAGGUUUGGAAGCAGGUGUGUCCAUACAGAAAAUAAUUGUGUUAAGGAACUUGCACAUAUCUGUUUUCCUUCACAGCUUUUCUGGAAGGUCAGUUAAUCUGUGGCAGUCGGGAUAUAGUGAAGUAGUUAAAAGCAGUUUUAGGAGUCAGGCCAUCCACGAGUUAAAAUCACGUCCACAGCAAUUAACACAAUUUUAGCCCUGGGCAAAUUGCACACCUCUCUUUCCUUCCAUUAGAAUAUUUAUAUAAAGAGGCACUCAUAGGGCUAUUGGAAGUAUAAUCUUCAGAAAAUGCUCAGCUCUGUGCCUGACUACAUAGUUAUUACCAGGGGACCUAUAUUUUUUCUGAAUAGUCCAUAUAAAAUAAACAAGAAUUCAGUCGUUCUCAUACACAAUAUUGGUGUUUCAAGGAAAUGUAUAGAAUCUGUGCAAAAUGGAGUGUGGGUUCUAUUCAAUAUUAUAGUACCUUUUUAUGUGAAAGGAAACUAAAUGAUAAUGAAAAAUAUUAGUUUCUGAAGGAAUACUUUAAGAAGUGGAUAAAAUACAUUUAUGAAUUAUAUUUGAAACUGACUUUCAAUUGAACUGUAUGCGGUCUUUGCAUUUUCCAUUUUUAUCUGUCUGUUUACUAUCAUAGUGCCUGAGAGAAUGACUCAAUAGCUAAGUGGUUGUAGAAUGCAUGAAUGUAGUGUGCACUUAAAUCAACUCCAGAGCCUUGAUUUAGUUGCUAAUACACAUUGCUUAUUUUUCAUAAAUCUUUAGUAGGAAAUGAUGUCUUCUUGCCUUCAAAUAUCAAAAGAUGUGUUGUUAUAAUGAGAUGAACAAACUUUUUUUGGCCCCGGAUAAUUAAAGAAAACUUAGCCUUAUUUUUAAAUUAUGUAUCUGAAGCACAGUACUAUUUAAAAUAAUCAAAUUAUUCCCACUUUUUUCUUUACUUUGGGUGGAAUAUAACUAUAGUAUUUUGUUACCAUUUAUCUCUUUCAGCAAUUUUCUUUAUGUCCUUGAAAGAUCCAUCUUUGAUCAGAUCAAAUUAUUUCCAUUUUUAUUUCUUUGUAUUUGUAUUAUUAAAAUAUCUAAUUACCUUAUUCAUAUUUAUUAUUUAGAUAUUAUAUAAUGUAUAAUUUUUAAUUUUUAACAUUAACAUAACAAUGUCUAUGGCCCCUUAGCCGCUAUUUAUAAAUUUUCAUAAUUUUUACAUAAAUACCACUGAAAUUUAAAACCUGAUUCAAGUAGAUGAUUAGAAUAAUGAUCUCUCUCUGCUAGACAGUAACUUUUUAUAGAGCUAUAUUUUGAGUUGUACCUCUUGUUGUAUAAUACACCUUCCAUCUGAUGUUUAGAAAC
RNAcentral lists this long non-coding RNA (1985 nucleotides) under Homo sapiens (human). Its description in RNAcentral is "HSALNT0203104". The record is from RNAcentral. Lineage: Eukaryota; Metazoa; Chordata; Mammalia; Primates; Hominidae.